CCCGGCCGCGUGGCCGGGGCGCGCCUGGGCUGGCCGGUGUCGCCCCAGCCAAGCAGAAGCGAGGGACCGGCGCUCUGCCGUCUCCCCCUCACAGUAAAACAUAAUGGUUGCAGCUGUGUUUACCUGUAGUGUAAUCCUAGUGUUUCUCUCUUCAGUGAAGGCAAAGGAAUGCACGGUACAGGAAGCACUGCUUACUCCAAGUUCGGUAUUUGUACUGGUAGGAGAGCCUCUUAUUAUUGAUUGUCUAUUAGAUAAAACACCGCACAUGAAUUACAACUUGACUUGGUAUAAAAGUGGGAGAAAAAUGCUUGUGACUCAAGUGAAACAUUCCAGAAUACAUCAACAUGAGAACAUGCUUUGGUUUGUCCCUGCAACUUUAGAAGACUCGGGUUCCUAUGAAUGUGUCAUAUGGAAUUUAACAAGCUGCAACAAAAUAUACUUCAAUAUAACAGUUUUCAAAAAUACUGCUGGUUUGUGUUUCAAUGGGAAUUAUCUUUAUCCUCAAGAGGUACCAGCAUCAUCAAGUGUAAAGAUUGUGUGUCCUUAUCUAGACUUCUUCAGAGAUGAGAAAAAUACUUCACUCGUUCACUGGUAUAAGGAAUGUAACCUGACUAAAAAUGAAAGAUUUACAUCUCGGAAUGAUGAUCUCAUAAUAACCAAUGCGAAUGUAAAUGACUCAGGAAAUUACUUAUGCAAAAUGACAUAUAAAUAUAUGGGGAAAGAAUAUAACAUUUCACGAAACAUUAAUGUAACUGUUAUAGAGACUCCACCGAAUAAGAGAACUGAAAUUCUUUAUCCAAGAAACAAUACAAUUGAAGUGGAACUUGGGUCCAAUGUUAUCGUGGACUGCAACGUAUCAAGUGCUAAAGAUAUUUCAGUUGGUAUAUCCUGGAGAGUCAAUAAUACUUUAGUCAAUUAUUCAUUUAUGGGAAGAGUCCAAGAGGGAAAUCAAAUAGAUUCUUUCCCCGAUGGGUACUUAUUUUCUACAGUGACGCUCAACAUCACAGAAGUGAAGCAGGAGGAUUACGGACGUCAUUUUGUGUGUUUUGCUGGUGAAGUUGCAGCCUACAUUGCAUUAAGACAGCCAGUUCAAAAUUUUCAAGGAUACUUGAUUGGAGGACUCCUUGCAUCAGUGUUUGUAACAGUUGUUGCCAUAUUAAUCUACAAGUUCUUCAAGAUUGACAUUGUGCUUUGGUAUCGAAAAUCCUGUCAUCCUUUUAUGAGUAAAGAAGAUGGGAAGAUCUACGAUGCAUAUGUACUGUAUCCAAAAAUCAGCUCCGUAGAUAGCAUCUCCACAGCAGAUAAUUUUGUGCUAAAGAUGCUUCCUGAGGUCUUGGAGAGAAAAUGUGGGUAUAAUCUGUUUAUACUUGGAAGAGAUGAUUUACCAGGAAAAGGUAACAUGAAAAAUGAUUGUAUUCUCUCAUUACCUUUAAAGUAGAACUGAGUUUUCUAUCAUUCUCUUUGAAUACUAGAGCAGGGCAAAAAAGAUUCACAUCAGUAUGGUCCCAUGGGUCACAUCAUGACACAGAGGCAGAAGCGCAAGGCACCACUUGUUAUAAUAGUAAUUUCAGAAAUGAUAGAUGCUUUGAAAUAUUCUAGCAUCUAUCUGUAUGAUUGAGUUUAUUUCCCUGCCUCCUCCAAAACUUUCUUCCUCACCCCCUCUAGGGGUCCUCUCUCAAGAGAAGAUUCUCAGACAAAGUGGAAUCUCUCUUCCAGCAGGCAGUGACAAAGAAGGUUGCUUUUCAGUACCAAGGGAGGGCUUUUCACUGGACAUACUGGGGUCAGACUAUAUUCUUGCAAAGAAUCACAGAAUGGAACUCAGUCUGUUUAAUUGUUCCCUAGUCCCUGUAAGUUAAGGGCUCGUUCUACAAGAGUACAAGCAGCAUCUCUAGCAUUGCUUUAAGAGGUGCUGCUACUUGACACCUGCAAAGCAAUUAUGAGGAACUCCAUCCACAAGUUUGAGAGACACUAUAACUCGGUACAGGGUUCCUCUUCUGGUACAGUUCUUCAUUUGCAACCUCUCACCUUCCUCCUGUUUGAGUAUCGCUUGUCAGUCGCCCACAGUGAAUACCCAUAGGGACCCGCACUUGAAGAGAAUGUUACUAACCUUUUAAUAACUGGAGAUUCUUCAAGAUGUGUGAUCUUAUCUGUAUUCCUCCCCUUGCCUUCCUUCCCCUCUGCUUCAGAUGUUCUCUGAUUUGCAGUAGAGAAGGAACUGAAGAAGCAGUUGGUCCACCUCACUCUCUAUCUUCUUGCUUGGCAGCACAAGCUGUGAUCAAUGUUGUUGAUGAAACCAUUAAACAGAGCAGAAGGCUUAUAAUUGUAUUAGCACCGGAAUCAUCAAGUUGCGGUUUAUUAGAUAA
Pelodiscus sinensis (Chinese soft-shelled turtle) is the source of this 2363-nucleotide non-coding RNA. The record is from RefSeq and is a predicted model, not a curated record. Lineage: Eukaryota; Metazoa; Chordata; Testudines; Trionychidae.